RNAcentral lists this long non-coding RNA (200 nucleotides) under Gossypium barbadense (sea-island cotton). RNAcentral describes it as "long non-coding RNA (GBAR_LNC013631)". Lineage: Eukaryota; Viridiplantae; Streptophyta; Magnoliopsida; Malvales; Malvaceae. The record is from RNAcentral.
AAAGAACUAAAAAGCACGUCUACAAUGAAUUUGGACAAAUUGUUGUCUAGAUACAUUUAAAUCUAGACAACCUUUUGUCUAGGUUCAUUCUAUAUGUCAAAACUUUUUAUAUUUUUAUUAAUUUUCAUAUUUUUUAAAUUUCGUAAUAAUAAUAUAAAUAACUUGGUAUUUUACAAAUAAAAAAGCAUAUAAACUUACUA